Non-coding RNA from Meleagris gallopavo (turkey), 7239 nucleotides. The record is from RefSeq and is a predicted model, not a curated record. NCBI's taxonomy places the organism in Eukaryota, Metazoa, Chordata, Aves, Galliformes, Phasianidae.
GCUCGUGAAAAUCGUUGCUAGCUAUUAAACUGGAUUGAGAUUAAGAUGCUCACUGUAUCUCCAAAUGUGAUGAAAAUCAAACCCCGCUCCUUUACAAUGCCUUUGGGGGAGGGUUCACACACAGAAGUUUGUGCACUAAAACUGAUAUCCUGACCUAAGUGCUGUUCUAGCUCGCCUUACUAUAAAUCAGAAGCAGCUCUCUGGUGCACAUGAACUCACAGUCAGAGCAUUUAUUUGUUAGGAGGGUAGAUUAACAAAGGCGUGGGCAGAACCCAGGAAAGAGAAAGGGGCCACAGAGCAGAAAAGUGAUGGAGCCAGGCACACACAGGAUACUGUGUCCCCAAAUAGUUCGGCGUCAAAUAACAAAAAUAGCUAUAACUUCAUUCCCUUAAUGUGCCCAUUAGUCUAAGUAAGACCUUUCUUUGGUUCGUGCCUGAACCUGGCUGUUUCUCUGCAACCUGCAAUUUAAUCCUCUGUGAAUGUAAUCCCCUAAAUGUAAUCGUCUGUGAAAUUAAAACAUAAUCAGUUCUCCAUUAUUAGGGGAAGUGGGGAGCUGCAAAAUCGAAAGAAGGAAAACCUGGCUAAUGGAAGUGCUUCUGGGCCCCAGCUGGCCCUGGAAGAUUCCCAGUCCUUUCCAGAAGCAAUGAGCUCUGGCAGGAGAGUCCUCUCAAUCAGGCUGGGAGGUGCAGAACUGGUGCAGGCAUUGCUACAUGCAUAGCAUGGCUUAUUCACGACGUGGGUAACAAACACAGAAAUAAUGGAGAAUAAAUCCUGCUUUGUUUCUUUGUUUGUUUUGCUGUAACUGAAACAAAAAUAGGUGUUUAAAUUAAUGUUAAUGAAAUGAUUUGAAGUUAGAGCGUUACGGAGGUACUGCAAGCAGCAAUAAAAUCACCAUGAAAUUACAAACAUGAUUUCAUGAAGAAUAAGACAUCAGCUCUGAAAUAGGAUUAAAGCAGCAGAAGUAUCCAGUUGCAGGAAUAAAAGACUUCAUCUAGCAAGAAUGGUAACACCGCACUCCUUAACGCACGGUGGAGGCAGGCAGGAAAGCACUCUCUCACUUCACUUCCAAAACUAAUGAAGAAAAGUACCCACAAACUCCAGGGGAGGGAAAAAAGGAUGAAAAACGGGCAGAUUCAGACAAUUAAGACAUUAGUUUUUCUUAAAUGACAUCAAACCCUAUUUCCAGAGCUGGUUGUUCAUGUCUGCCUGUUCUCUCCAGUCAUGGUUUGGAUAGAGGAGCUGGAGGCUGAAGCAGAACUUUCCACUGCUGAGUACAUGCAGUCUGCCUUUCAGGUAUCUAUUUCUGGGACUUCUCACUUGCAAAGGAUGCUCUGCAGAGCUGAUUUCUGACAGCCCUGGUGCAAGGCCUGGCCGGUGCCAGCCCUGGGGCUGCAGUGCCUCCUGACGGAGCAAGACAGCUCACGGCCUCUCCUCUGCUGACAAAUUGCACAGCUGUGGUGUUACAUGUCAGCACUUGCGUUGCGGAUCUCCAGAGACAAACCGGGAAUGUUCUGUAUGCCGGGCAGUGGCCUGGAGCCAUUGCGUUGAGACAACCUUCUUGAGGGAGCCAUGGUGAACAAGAUGAGUGGGGAAUCCACCUGCAGCCAUGUAAAGAUAGGCAUCCUACUGCAGCAAGGCCAGCUGUACAGCUUAAGGAGGAGACCUCAAAAAAUGCACUAAAUACUUGCAGUGUUUGAUGUGUGGAUACUACACUGUCUUCAAACAGCAUUGGUUGAAAAGCAAGGUAGGUGGGACUGUAUGUCCCUGAAAUCUAAGGUGCUCUUUCAUCAGCAUUUGCGGUGAGUCUGAAGUUGUUUGAUGGUAUUUAUCGUCAUCUGGAACAUUUCCAGUGGAAAACAUGAUCUUGCUGACCUGGAAUCUAACUCAGCUCCUGCAACCCAUAUAAUCAGAGUAAGAGUCCAGAGAGACAUUUGGAUUGAUACUCAGUACAGAGAAGCAAAGAACUGGAGCUACCUGAAAUGAGCUGCUCAUCUCCUGAGGUCACCUAAAAUUAGCCUUUCAUCAAGAUAUUGAUGACUUCUUUCACUGCAUUAUCACAGCUGUUAACCUAUUGCCAGCAAAUUCCACUUUAGAAAAGAUAAAAGGUCUUUUGAAGUCGCGUCCUCCUGGGCAUCUGCAGAAUCUCUGUGAGAUUAUGGAAAUACGUUUUGUAGGUGAUUAGCAUAGGGAUGGAAAAAUCAAAAAGCAGUCUUGAGAGACAGACAAUUAUGGUGGAAAAAAUAGCCAUCAUGAACUUUAAUUGACAAAGUAAUUUACUAAGACUCCCGAAAUGGGUGAAUAAUAACAAAUGAUUUUUUUCUUUUUUUGGUCUGCAUCAUACGAGAGAGGAUAUAGAAAAGAAUCAGCAAGGACAACUAUUGGGAUAAAGGGAAACAUUAAGACAAAGAACUCAUGGUCACAGAUAACAGCUUUACUGCCUCAGAAGAUAUUUUCAAAAGAAAACUAGUGGAAGACUGCAGAUGAGGCUAUAUGAAGAUGGAAGAAUAACUUCUUAGAAAACUUCACUCACAGAUCUGUCAGUGGUUUGCUGUCAAAUUAUAAUGGCAUAUUAUUUGUGAAUCUGUAAGGGUUAAGUCCUGAUUGCACUAUUCAUCUUUUUUUUUUUUUCCUCAGUGUCACAGUAGUAUCCUUACCCUCUCCAUUUCAAAAGAAAAUAUUAGAGAUUAAUUUUUCUUUCUCUUCAUGUUGGAACGAGUAUUUAAGUGUAAAGCAACUUGCUUCAACUCAAACAAUAUUCUCCUACUGCUGUGUUUGCUUCCAGCUCACCUUUUGGAAAGACUGCAGCUAAAAUGUCUGUCCUUUCCUAGACAUGAUUACAGGACAGUAAGUUACCUGAUGCACAUUAUGAAAAAGUUUUCUGAACUCAUCUUUAAGAAAUUUGAGCAGUUCCACACUGUGGAAAAGAGCUAUGAAGAACACAGGAAAUCCAUUUUAUUUUGGGGAGUUGGAUUCAGUUUUUCCAGGGCUUGUAAUGGACGGAGAGGAACAAAUUAAUGAUUAUGAUGAUAACAAAAGUAAUAAUGUUCUUCAGUAUGAAACCAAGCAGACCUCUUCAGUAUGAAGAGUUGAGAGACAUCUACAAAGCGUGGCUUACAUUACAUGCCCUAUCUGCUUCUGCCUCAACAGCAGGACGACAAGCCAGCCAUGGACCCUUCCUAGAAGGCCCAGUGCCCAAAAGAUGCAUGAGAUUUGUAGGCAGCAUCAACUAAGGCUGUUCAUCUAGCACACGAUGCUGCAGAUAUCUUGUAUCCCAGAGAGCUGGUAUGAGGCAGAGAGAUAAAAUCAUUGAAUAUUUUUCCUGGCCUGAGUUUCACUGGAGUCUUCACCAAAGACACAUCCAAGUCGGGCAGUCAGCUCCAUAGAAGUACUGCCUCACGGGCACAGAUCACGGUGCUCAAACUGUCUGUUAAACAUUGCUGUCUGAUAAUAGAGGUUUAUUUCCUUCUCCUUGACCGCAUUAAGAAAUCUCCCAUUCUCUUGUUGCAGGCAGGACAAGCCAAAAGCCCUACUUUUGACUGAACUUUGAGUGACUUAAAUGUCUUGGACUUGCAGCCAUUGACACAAACUGGAAGACAGAGCUUGUUGCAUAUGUUAAAGUAAGUUGGUAUCAAACUCACUAGAAAGCCUCAGCAACCUAUGAAAAUAUCAAUAAAUUUUACCAAGCAACAAAAUCUUCUCUAAAGAGGAAACAGAAAUUUUCAGAAACUGAAGGCUCCUUCUCCCUGUCCUCUGGGGCUGAAAGCUUGGAAAACAUUGCAAUCCCUAUGUAGCAUCUCCUUAAAAGCUUUUUUUACCUGACAGUUCUUCUGCAUUAUUAGUGCUACCUGAGUCAUCUGAAUGAUCUCCUGCUUUUUUCACAUAUAACUUGACUGAGCAAACAGUGAUUUGGCUGGUAGUGGUCAACACUCAGGAAGACACAUCUUGUGCUGCUGGUUUUCAUCCCGGAGCUGCUAAUAUUCUGGAGAGGGUCUCCUGGGUACCUCGUGGCAAAGCAGUGGCAAUCUGUAGGCAGGGAAUCUCAAGUCUUCCCAGGCUCAAGAUGAUUAGCUCUCAUCCCCAACACCCCUGCAAUGAAGCACUGUGACAGAAAUGCUGCCCCAAAUGUGGGAUUCAGCAAGGGCAGGCAAGGACAGCAAAAGGCCCCGGAGAGAAUAGAAAGAGAGACCUCCUUUCUUUGUUUGAGGCACUCAGGUCCAGAUUGGAUGAGGCCCUGGACAACCUGAUCUGGUGGGUGGGCAACCAGCCCAUGGCAAGAUUGGAACUGGGUGGCCUUUAAGGUCCUUUCCAACCCAACCAUUCUGUGACUCUGCGAUGCUGUGAUUCUAUUCUUGGGGGGCAUCCACAGAAAGAGAACCGUCCUUGAUCCAGCUCAGGAAAGGUGCCAGUACGCUCAGCAUCUGAAACGCAUCAGUCAUCUAGAUAAGUAAUUGCAAGCUGUUGAUCAAACCUGCAGAAGAUACAGAAUUGACGUCAUGAAUAGAAAUUGUUAUUGAAGUUCUCACACCCGUGAGGACGUAAACUGAAGAACGAUAGCAAAGCAUCCUGCAGAAUUGAACUCAGAACUGACUGCUUGUAAGAUAUACUGCAGUUUCUUAUGAAAGCCAAUCGCUGCCCUUCAUACGUCAGUCUGACUGAAAGAUGAGAUGAGCUGAGGGAUCAGAGUGAAUCCAGCGCUACAAAGGGCUUUGGGAAGAAGUAUGUUGUAGUGAUCUCCGACCCAACUCGCACUUACAUGUCAUUUCUGAAUGGGCACUUGAAAAAUUCUUUGCCAAUUCUGUUCUCAAGAGAGAGCUGCAAUUUCCCUGAGUCCCCAGACCGAAAGGGAAAAAUAGUUAUUUCAAAGACCUUUGAGAAACAAACAAAAAGAAAAAUAAGGGCAGGUUUGUUAUUUGUGUAAAUACGUCAUCCAAAUGGUUUUAAGAAAGAUAAUUCAUGUUAAUUUGAGAAUUCAAUUAAUUUAUCAUGUCAGUGCUGGUACUACUCCAACAAAACCAGCUCCAGCACAGCAGUACAGACAGUAGAAUUAAUUGACUGUGUAUCCCAGAGAGUUCCACUUCUCUGUCACAGUUCAUCGUUUCGGCUUUUGUACCCUUAUCCAGACACAGUGCCACUCUUCUUGGCAGCAAAGUGACCUGAAAGCAGCUGUUGGCAUUAUAGCCACCUGUGACAAUUUCCAAUAAAUUUCCUAAUUAAAUAAGCCCCUUUCCAGUAAUUCUUUGAUGUCAUCUAAUUUUCUGCCAUUUGGUAAAGUCGGAGAGACAGAAGUCUCAAAGUAAUCUGAAUUUUAUGGUUCCCAACUUCUGUUCCCUAUAAGGAGCAAACUGAUUUCUGUUUCGGUCUUUGAAGGAUUAUUAAGACAGAGGAACCAUUAUAACAACAAUGAAGGGACUGUUUGAUUUUCAUACAACUCGUAAGUCCGUCCCUCCUGCUGAAACCAAGAUCUCUUGUGCUGUGGUGUAUGCUGAGAACUGAACAAAAGCUGCUGAAUCUCAAAGACUCAUUAACACUUCAAGAACAAGAAGAAAAGAAAGAAAAAAAAAAAGAAGGAAAAACUGGGAAAACAUUUACAUUAGUCCCUGCCACCCCUAUCCCAAUGCCUUCCUCUCACACUCAGUUUAUGUGCAGACCACUCACUUUCUCUAACUAAAGUCUACUCCAUAAUGGGGACGACUCGGUAAAGUCAUACAGAGACACCUAAGGGUUUCUUAAGCUAAAUCCCAGCAGGAGGGACUGAAGCUGUGUCUGUUCUGCAUUAAUGUGGAGGACCAAGGCUCCCCAGUAGCAUAUUUACCAUUCUUUAUCCUGCAGUCCUACAGGUGCCCAUGAUGGCACUUUGGGCCAGGAGUGAGGGUUGGGUGUAGCACACACCCAACAGUUAUCUUUUUCCAGACAUCCUACGGCUGCUCAGUUGUCAGAUGUGUUUUAUUCGCUUUAACCUGAGUGAGAACAUCUCCUUCUUCCUCACUGCUGGUCAGCUACAUUAAAUCUCAUUCCAUCACACACUCCACUAGCUCAGUGCCAUCUCUUCCAAAGAUGUUAAUGCAAGCCUCAUAUUCUAUAGCGUGUAUCAGCUCUCUAUGAUGGAGUCAUUUCUUGUGUGAAAACUACAGAUUUCAACGAAAGAGGAUUUCCUGGUCUUCCUGUGUUCACACAGCUGCUUUGCAGCAUGGUUUGCAUGUACUUAUAAAGGCCAAAAUGGAAGCAGUAAACAAAAAGAACCUACAGCCUUCUAUUUAAAAGCAAACAAAGCCCUACCAUUUCCGUACUCUUUUAUUUUUAAUAAAGUUGACUCAUAUUUUGUAACAUGACUGGCAAAACUGCUAGAGGCCCUUCCCUAUGCAGCAGCACGAGCACACAUACAUCCCCAUGGUGGCUGCCCACCGCAGUCAGUCAGUCUUAGGUUCAUGCUGAAGAUGUAGAUGUUUACAGAGAGCUUCCCAAGGAUUCUGUGAGUGCUCACAGAGACCUUUACCAACCACUGCAGGCUGUCACAUAAAGUCUUUUGUAUCUGUGCACUUAAUCCAAGGCCCAAUAAACUCAGUAAUUCAGAGCUGGAAUUCCCAUGAAUCUCAGAAGACUUUGGAUCAAGUUACUAAUGCUACCUUUGUUUAUAGGGGUUUAUAGGAGUCCAUAUCUGUUUGCCUGCUGCUACUUACACCGCUGUCAUAUGUUUUUAUUUCAGGCGAGGGGCAAAAUGGAAUGAGCUAAGAGAAAUUCACUUGACUUUCUAUUUCUGUUUCAUCAAAGCUUCCAUCUGUCUCGGUGAUGUCUAAAUGUGUCUUCACUGAACAUUUCCAGACCUGUGCUCAAUUCAUCUGAUUCCAAGUGUCUUCCUUCGGCCACUUUCGGUGCAGAUCAGCCAGCAUCCCAUUUAUGUUUUGAAAAACUACCCUAAACCCUUAACUUUAGGCCUAAAGAAACUAUCCUUUGAACGCUAACUCCACAUGCAAAGGAAGUUCUUAAUAUUACUGUAAAUGGAUCCCUUCUCUUCACAUGGCAUCUCAGACCUGUGGGUGCAUGGCAUUUACCCCAGGAAAUGCAGGCAGAGCCAUUGCAACUCAGCAGUGAAGGUCACAGACCUGCUCUCCAGCCCUUGACCUUGUCUGACUGUGCGACAUUGCUAAGGGACCAGAGAAGUGGAGAGCGGGGGGAAGGGUCAGCAGACAUUGGAGACAGAUGUCCCAAUUCAUCACCCACCAGAAAUAAAUUAAAAAAAAA